GACGGGGGGGGGCAAGUGUUCUUCGGAAUUACUGGGCGUAAAGGGCGCGUAGGCGGCCUUCUAAGUCGAACGUGAAAUCCCCGGGCUCAACCCGGGAACUGCGUCCGAGACUGAAAGGCUUGAAUCCGGGAGAGGGAUGUGGAAUUCCAGGUGUAGCGGUGAAAUGCGUAGAUAUCUGGAGGAACAUCGGUGGCGAAGGCGGCGUCCUGGACCGGUAUUGACGCUGAGGCGCGAAAGCCAGGGGAGCAAACGGG
Molecule: ribosomal RNA, 254 nt
Filed under: uncultured bacterium
Lineage: Bacteria
Description: partial 16S ribosomal RNA
Rfam family: Bacterial small subunit ribosomal RNA
Source: RNAcentral